RNAcentral lists this ribosomal RNA (253 nucleotides) under uncultured bacterium. RNAcentral describes it as "partial 16S ribosomal RNA". It matches the Rfam family "Bacterial small subunit ribosomal RNA", at positions 524 to 776 of the family's 1533-position model. The record is from RNAcentral.
UACGGGGGGGGCAAGCGUUGUUCGGAAUUACUGGGCGUAAAGGGCUCGUAGGCGGCCAGCUAAGUCGGAUGUGAAAUCCCCAGGCUCAACCUGAGAACUGCAUCCGAUACUGGAUGGCUUGAAUUCGGGAGAGGGAUGCAGAAUUCCAGGUGUAGCGGUGAAAUGCGUAGAUAUCUGGAGGAAUACCGGUGGCGAAGGCGGCAUCCUGGACCGACAUUGACGCUGAGGAGCGAAAGCCAGGGGAGCAAACGGG